This 406-nucleotide ribosomal RNA is filed under the name uncultured bacterium. Its description in RNAcentral is "partial 16S ribosomal RNA". It matches the Rfam family "Bacterial small subunit ribosomal RNA", at positions 30 to 526 of the family's 1533-position model. The record is from RNAcentral.
AUUGAACGCUGGCGGCAGGCCUAACACAUGCAAGUCGAACGAGUGGCGGACGGGUGAGUAAUGUCGGGGAAACUGCCUGAUGGAGGGGGAUAACUACUGGAAACGGUAGCUAAUACCGCAUACCAUCGGAUGUGCACAGAUGGGAUUAGCUAGUAGGUGGGGUAAAGGCUCACCUCGGCGCCGAUCCCUAGCUGGUCUGAGAUGAUGACCAGCAACACUUGAACUGAGACACGGUCCCGACUCCGACGGUGGGCGGCAGUGGGGAAGAGUGCACAAUGGGCGCAAGCCUGAUGCAGCCAUGCCGCGUGUAUGAAGAAGGCCUUCGGGUUGUAAAGUACUUUCAUCGGGGAGGCGUUACCCGCAGAAGAAGCACCGGCUAACUCCGUGCCAGCAGCCGCGGUAAUUC